This 440-nucleotide ribosomal RNA is filed under the name uncultured Chitinophagaceae bacterium. RNAcentral's name for it is "bacterial SSU rRNA". It matches the Rfam family "Bacterial small subunit ribosomal RNA", at positions 410 to 850 of the family's 1533-position model. The record is from RNAcentral. Lineage: Bacteria; Pseudomonadati; Bacteroidota; Chitinophagia; Chitinophagales; Chitinophagaceae.
GAAGGUCCUCUGGAUUGUAAACUUCUUUUAUCUGGGAAAAAACCCACGGUUUCUAAUGUGGUUGACGGUACCAGAUGAAUAAGCACCGGCUAACUCCGUGCCAGCAGCCGCGGUAAUACGGAGGGUGCAAGCGUUAUCCGGAUUCACUGGGUUUAAAGGGUGCGUAGGGGGGUAGGUAAGUCAAUGGUGAAAUCUCCGAGCUUAACUCGGAAACUGCCGUGGAUACUAUCUGUCUUGAAUAUCGUGGAGGUGAGCGGAAUAUGUCAUGUAGCGGUGAAAUGCUUAGAUAUGACAUAGAACACCAAUUGCGAAGGCAGCUCGCUACACUAUUAUUGACGCUGAGGCACGAAAGCGUGGGGAUCAAACAGGAUUAGAUACCCUGGUAGUCCACGCCCUAAACGAUGAAUACUCGACAUCAGCGAUACACAGUUGGUGUCUGA